GUUUGUUUGUUUCGACGUAAAGUUUCUCUAGGUAGCCCUAGUCGUCCUGUAACUUGCUUUGUAGACCAGGCUGGCCCAAACUCACAGAGAUCCACCUGCUUUUGCCUCCCGAGUGGUGGCAUCAAAGGCCUGUGUCUUCUGGACUUGGCUCGUGUCUUCUUAGGUGGGAAGUCGAACUUUUCCCUGUAAACUCAGAUGGAGCCUGUUUUUCUAACUCUUCUUGAGAGCCAACUUCCUCUUAUUCAUUUGCAUUCCGUUUAGGAAGUCGAAGUUUAUUUUAACAGUUUUUGAAACCAUACAUACUUGAAGGUUUUGUUACUGUUUCUAGACUGGGUCUUACUCUGUAGCCUUGGCUGUCCUGGAGCUCACUAUGUAGACCAGGUUGGCUUCAAAUUCAGAGAUCCUCCUGCCUCUGCCUCCCGAGUGCUCUGGUGCCACCCUGGUUGGAUGAAUUUUCAAAGGAAAUUUAAAAAAAGGUUUCCUCACUGCACGCUGAGAUAAAACAUGUCUGUAAUUUCCCUUCUGGGCCAAUUGGAAGUCCUCUGUGCACGUUGGAAGGCCAGUCAUGCAAUUUUGAAGGUAUCUAGCUGCUUGCAGAAGCCAGGGAGAAGGGAUCCAGAGAGCUGGUGUCACAGUUCUUUGCUUCUGACUUUUUGUUUACUG
This 663-nucleotide long non-coding RNA is filed under the name Rattus norvegicus (Norway rat). RNAcentral's name for it is "long non-coding RNA NONRATT013936". The record is from RNAcentral. Lineage: Eukaryota; Metazoa; Chordata; Mammalia; Rodentia; Muridae.